AGGCCUCAAGUGAUCCUCCCUCCUGGACCUCCCAAAGCUCUGGGAUUAUAGGUGUGAGCCACUAUGCCUGGCUUCUAUGUGCAUUUUGUGUUCAGUGUAUACUUAUGAGUACAUAAAUUAUCUUGGCUAGUUGUCAUUUCUGUUGGCUGUCUCCAGCCACCCCCGAAGCCUUUCAUCUCCAGCUCCCAGAGCUGGGGACUUGUCUUGUUCACUGCCAGAGUCCCAAUGCCGAGAGCUCACGUGGCAUGCAGCAGGCACUGGCUAUGGGUGGAGGUCUCCAGCUCUGCUCCAGCUCCUGUCCCACAUGGUGAGUAGCCUUCAGAAAAGGAAGUCCCAGAAAAGUGGAGGCUGGGGCUUUGUUCGGCCUUUCCCUGCCCCUAGGCUUGUGUUCAGCCCGUGGCCGUGUGCCCCUUCCCGGCUUUGCCCCUGAUUUGCUCAGUGUGGGUGAGCCAUAGCCGGUUUGGUGCUGAGUGGGCAGGGCGGGGCCCACAUGUCUGUGAGACACAGGCCAUAGUUCAGAUUGAUGGCAUCGAGUCUUCAUGACUUCAGCUGCACUUAGUUAAACAUGGACCAGCCCACUGGAACCUUGUGGGCAGUAGUCUGAUUUCUGCUCUCAUUUCUGCUCUCUUCCAAGCUUCAAUUAAGGGAGCAACAAAAGAUCUCUAUCAUGAGCCAUGUGUGAUGAUCUCAUCUGCUAAGACAAAUAUUUUUUUUCUGGUUAUAUUUAUAGAACACUCUCUUGUUUCCUUGAACAACCCUAGCUGGCAUUAUCUUGUUUACCUUCUCUUCAUCUAGAUUUGCAUUUGUAGGGGGGCAGCUUUUAUCUGCUGCUCGUAGCUGUGUGGGAUUUCCAGUUCCUCUGUUUUUCUUCUUUUAGCUUUCAUCUGUGAGCUCUUUUAAAAUCAAGCAGUUAACUUACAGUUACAAGGCAGUAAUUAAUAUUAUAAGAAAACAGACAACACUGGCUCCAGCUAAGCACACCGCGGUAAUUUUUCUUAGGAGUGUCUUGCGGCCUUGCAGGGGAGGAUGGAACUUGGUAUUCCUUUCCCCUUUCUGCCAGUCAUGUGCUUCCUGAUGCCAGGCCUCCCUCCAGCCCUGCCAUCCCAGGGAAACUAGUCCAGACCGUCCCCACAGAUCUCCGGACUGACACCUGACUACCUUUGGGGGCAUCUGACCCUGCCUACGGUCCCACAGUGACUCACACUGAAACUAAGAUGCACAGUUGGAGUAGGAACCUGCUGGCCCAGCAAGAGAAUCUCUUCUUCGGGGGCCCAUUGAGCUAGGCUGUGUCAGAAAAAGAUUGCUGACCACAAUCCUCAAAAUCAAUUUCAUGACUCAUUAAUGGGUUGUGAUUCCGAGUUUGUAAAUGACUGGUCUGUUUGGACACUGAAGUUACUCAGGACGAUGGCAAGACUUGGAGUGGAGUGGUGCCAAAGUCUUUAAUGAAUAUGGAGGAGCAAAGACACAGCUCCAUGCAUCUUUCCUCGUGAAUGGCCUGUGAUUUCAGCACAGUCUAUUAGGUAAAGGUCCAGACUAUCAGUUUACUUCUGGUGUAAACAGGAUAAUUCACGGAUUUGCUGUUUUUUCCCCAGUGGUCUCCAGCCGGCAUGGGUCUUUAAUUUAUUCACUGCCAGUGACCAUUCCCCUCCCUUUUUUCUCUCCUAGGGAAGAACUAAGUAAACUGCCCUUCUUCACAUACCCCAGCCCCACAGUCUGAUCUGGCAAAGGGGCAGGGAUGCGGGAACCUCAGCAGCAGGUGACUGUGGCCUCCAGACUCUGCCAUGCUUCCAAAAGCUCCAGCCAUCUCACGGUUGCAAGAAUCUCCCAGAGGGAGAGGCCAUGUCCAAAGCGACGAGACAGAGUUUCACCUUGUUGCCCAGGUUGGAGUGC
Molecule: long non-coding RNA, 1890 nt
Organism: Cercocebus atys (sooty mangabey)
Lineage: Eukaryota; Metazoa; Chordata; Mammalia; Primates; Cercopithecidae
Exons: 3
Source: RefSeq, a predicted model, not a curated record